Molecule: ribosomal RNA, 616 nt
Filed under: uncultured Legionella sp.
Lineage: Bacteria; Pseudomonadati; Pseudomonadota; Gammaproteobacteria; Legionellales; Legionellaceae
Description: bacterial SSU rRNA
Rfam family: Bacterial small subunit ribosomal RNA
Source: RNAcentral
UAGCUAGUUGGUGGGGUAAGGGCCUACCAAGGCGACGAUCGGUAGCUGGUCUGAGAGGAUGACCAGCCACACUGGAACUGAGACACGGUCCAGACUCCUACGGGAGGCAGCAGUGGGGAAUAUUGGACAAUGGGGGCAACCCUGAUCCAGCAAUGCCGCGUGUGUGAAGAAGGCCUGAGGGUUGUAAAGCACUUUCAGUGGGGAGGAGGAUAAUUAGGUUAAGAGCUAGAUUAUUGGACGUUACCCACAGAAGAAGCACCGGCUAACUCCGUGCCAGCAGCCGCGGUAAUACGGAGGGUGCAAGCGUUAAUCGGAAUUACUGGGCGUAAAGCGUGCGUAGGUGGUUGAAUAAGUUAUCUGUGAAAUCCCCGGGCUCAACCUGGGCAGGUCAGAUAAGACUGUUUAACUCGAGUAUGGGAGAGGGUAGUGGAAUUUCCGGUGUAGCGGUGAAAUGCGUAGAGAUCGGAAGGAACACCAGUGGCGAAGGCGGCUACCUGGCCCAAUACUGACACUGAGGCACGAAAGCGUGGGGAGUAAACAGGAUUAGAUACCCUGGUAGUCCACGCCGUAAACGAUGUCAACUAGCUGUUGGUCAUAUGAAUGUGAUUAGUGGCGA